GCAAACCCAGGAAUCUGCGGGGCCUGCCACAAGCUGCUCUGGCCCCAGGGUUCUGGGCAUCAGGAAGGGAGCCAGGCGGGGCUGGGGAACAGCUGUUGACUUCCCCCAGCAGGUGGGUGCUGCUUCCAUGGCGACCAGGCAGAUGCGGAUGGAUUCCUUAGGCAGGGUGUGGGGACUUGAGGGGGUGCACGCAAGGGCUGGAACGGAGAAAGGGAAUUGGGGGUUGUCUCUCUCCUCUAUAUAAUAGCCUCCUUCUGACAAGGAGCUUCUGUUCUUUUCCACUGGAAAGCUUUUAAGAACGCUGAAAAGGACAGGCAAUUACAGGAAGGUUAGGUGCGCCUGAUUGGAUGUUGUUACAGAUCACUCAUUGUCAUACACGGCGUUUGGAAAGGCGGCCAUCGGGGACUGAUUGCCGUUUAGGAUGAAAGAACUGAGGCUCAGGAGGAUGAAGGAAGCUAGUGAGCAUCACACCGAAGGAAGCAAAGUCAAUGAAGGACUUUCGGCACGGAAAAAGAUAUGAUGGAAUAUACAGAUCAACGCUUUGGCGCUGGCGAGGCAGAUGGAUUGGAGGUGUCGAGAGACAGAAAGGCCAGUUAGGAGACUAUUGACACAUCCAGGUGAGAGAUUUGCUUGAACUAAGGUGGUGACAGUGGGUAUGGAUUGGGGAGAGUAUUGAUGAAUGAAAUAUUUUGAAAGCAA
This is a non-coding RNA of Sus scrofa (pig), 699 nucleotides long. The record is from RefSeq and is a predicted model, not a curated record. NCBI's taxonomy places the organism in Eukaryota, Metazoa, Chordata, Mammalia, Artiodactyla, Suidae.